RNAcentral lists this non-coding RNA (26 nucleotides) under Homo sapiens (human). The record is from RNAcentral. Lineage: Eukaryota; Metazoa; Chordata; Mammalia; Primates; Hominidae.
UCCGUGCCAAGUACGAGCAGAAGCUC